Molecule: unclassified non-coding RNA, 70 nt
Filed under: Apis mellifera (honey bee)
Lineage: Eukaryota; Metazoa; Arthropoda; Insecta; Hymenoptera; Apidae
Description: RNA (70-MER) from Apis mellifera (PDB 2N8V, chain X)
Source: RNAcentral
GGAACAGCUGUACUGGGCAGUUACAGCAGUCGUAUGGUAACACAUGCGGCGUUCCGAAAUACCAUGCCUG